AUUAGUACAAUUAAUGUAUUUAUUUUAAUUAAAUUAUCAAUAUUUAUUUAUUGUAUUCUUAGUGUUUGAAAAUUCCAAUACUAGCAUUAAGAUAAAAAAAAAUAUCAGAAAUAUAUUUAUACUCAUUAAUUAUUAUUGCUUUUCUUAUUAUUACUUCCUUCAAUGUCCUGGCACUUUGACAUCUAGUGUUUUUCUGUCUAGCAGCCAAAAUUGUGGUCUUUCUGAAUGUGUAUGUCCUAAGUCUUCAUUGGUGUAUCUAGCUAUAUAACAAAAAUCUGCAUCUCUCUCUCUUCUCACCCAGUUGUCCCCGUACAUCCUUUUAGUAUCCAAAGAAUUUCAAUUUACAUCUUGUAAUCACUCAACUAAUGCAGUGCAAUCCUCAUCUCUGUAUUUUACCGUGUGGACAUACUCUUUCCUUCCAUGUUCCACUGUCGUAUGUUAUUCCACAUCUAACACAACCACAUCCCAACAGAUCCGAACACGUCCGAUAUCAUCCAAGAGAAUGUGGCAGCUGAAGGGGGAGAGGCCAAGAAAGAGGCCAAGGGUGAAGACAUUUAGCCACCCCCCCUGAAGUACAUGGCAGCAUUCAACCCUCUUGGUGAGCUGCAGGAAUGUGCUUCCCAUUGCAGUGCACCAGCUCCAUGUACUGAUUUUGGUGUGAACUUGAUGGGGUUGGAGGAAACUCGACUUGGCCAUCAAGCUCACCACAAUAUAACAUGAAAAGUGAAAAUUGAUGCACACAACAGUCUGUCGUCUGCACCGGGAGGCAAGGCAGCUCAAAGCCCAGGCUGUUACAACUCCUGGGCAGUUUUUGCCCAGAGCCAGCAAUUUUUUAGAUCCAAUAGGGAUGGAUUUUUUCUGAGGUCAGGUUCAACAUGCUGCAAGAUGCCAAGAUCUAAGCCUAGUAGGAGAUAUGGGUUACAAGAGAGGAGGUUUGCUCUGGCCUUAUACUAUCAAAGUCCAAAUGCUAAUAGAUUUCUGAGCACAGUAUUUUACUUGUCUUCAGUUUCAACACUUCACUCAUGACUCAGGGGUAUUUCAGUACAUGUUGGCUGGAGCAAACAGACUCUGACAGCCCUGCAGCAAAGAGCACAGGCUUUGUCAAAAGAAGAGAAACUUUGUGAGAUUUGCCAUUAUUUAGUAUUACUCUUGUUACGCCAAGAAUUUUUUUCCAUAUACUUUGCCAGAUAUUGCAAGUAAUGCACCAUUGUUGGGCUUGAUUGUUAUAAAUCAGAUCUUGUUCAAUUAACAAGCUUUGGGUGUCUGCCACUUUCCAGUUGUAAUGCAAGGAAUCAUUUAUCUUCCCUGCUAGAUAUCACACGUAAUGCACCAUUGUUGGUUUUGCUUGUUAUAAAUCAGAUCUUGUUCAGUUAAAAAGCUUUAGGUGUCUGCCACUUUCCAAUUGUAAUGCAAGGAAUCCCCUGCCAGAUAUCGCAUGUAAUGCACCAUUGUUGGUUUUGCCUAUUAUAAAUCAGAUCUUGUUCAGCUCACAAGCUUUGAAUAUCUGCCAUUGUUUAUUUCAGGUGUAAUGCUUGGAAGCAUUUGUUCUCUUCCCUACCCAACAGUAUGCAAUGCUUUAUUGUGGAUUUUGCCUGUUAUGUUUAAUCUUGUUCAGGUAACAAGCUUUUGAUGUCUGCCUUACCUAAUAAUGUGCUGCAGUGACACUUGGCUUGGUUUCAUAAUGUGAAAUACAGCAUGUAAUUUCAUCACACUAAGUGUCUAUCAUCACGUGUCUGGCAUCGUUAAUGUGGCUUC
Eriocheir sinensis (Chinese mitten crab) is the source of this 1755-nucleotide long non-coding RNA. RefSeq lists it as uncharacterized. The transcript has 3 exons. The record is from RefSeq and is a predicted model, not a curated record. Lineage: Eukaryota; Metazoa; Arthropoda; Malacostraca; Decapoda; Varunidae.